AGAAGUGCAUCGGAAACUGGAUAACUUGAGUGCAGAAGAGGGUAGUGGAACUCCAUGUGUAGCGGUGGAAUGCGUAGAUAUAUGGAAGAACACCAGUGGCGAAGGCGGCUACCUGGUCUGCAACUGACGCUGAGACUCGAAAGCAUGGGUAGCGAACAGGAUUAGAUACCCUGGUAGUCCAUGCCGUAAACGAUGAGUGCUAGGUGUUGGAGGGUUUCCGCCCUUCAGUGCCGGAGCUAACGCAUUAAGCACUCCGCCUGGGGAGUACGACCGCAAGGUUGAAACUCAAAGGAAUUGACGGGGGCCCGCACAAGCGGUGGAGCAUGUGGUUUAAUUCGAAGCUACGCGAAGAACCUUACCAGGUCUUGACAUCUUGCGCCAACCCUAGAGAUAGGGCGUUUCCUUCGGGAACGCAAUGACAGGUGGUGCAUGGUCGUCGUCAGCUCGUGUCGUGAGAUGUUGGGUUAAGUCCCGCAACGAGCGCAACCCUUGUUACUAGUUGCCAGCAUUAAGUUGGGCACUCUAGUGAGACUGCCGGUGACAAACCGGAGGAAGGUGGGGACGACGUCAGAUCAUCAUGCCCCUUAUGACCUGGGCUACACACGUGCUACAAUGGACGGUACAACGAGUCGCGAACUCGCGAGGGCAAGCAAAUCUCUUAAAACCGUUCUCAGUUCGGACUGCAGGCUGCAACUCGCCUGCACGAAGUCGGAAUCGCUAGUAAUCGCGGAUCAGCAUGCCGCGG
RNAcentral lists this ribosomal RNA (745 nucleotides) under Limosilactobacillus fermentum. RNAcentral's name for it is "bacterial SSU rRNA". It matches the Rfam family "Bacterial small subunit ribosomal RNA", at positions 617 to 1362 of the family's 1533-position model. The record is from RNAcentral. Lineage: Bacteria; Bacillati; Bacillota; Bacilli; Lactobacillales; Lactobacillaceae.